CGCGGCCUAUCAGCUUGUUGGUGGGGUAAUGGCCUACCAAGGCGACGACGGGUAGCCGACCUGAGAGGGUGACCGGCCACACUGGGACUGAGACACGGCCCAGACUCCUACGGGAGGCAGCAGUGGGGAAUAUUGCACAAUGGGCGAAAGCCUGAUGCAGCGACGCCGCGUGAGGGAUGAAGGCCUUCGGGUUGUAAACCUCUUUCAGCAGGGACGAAGCGCAAGUGACGGUACCUGCAGAAGAAGCACCGGCUAACUACGUGCCAGCAGCCGCGGUAAUACGUAGGGUGCGAGCGUUGUCCGGAAUUACUGGGCGUAAAGAGUUCGUAGGCGGUUUGUCGCGUCGUUUGUGAAAACCCGGGGCUCAACUUCGGGCUUGCAGGCGAUACGGGCAGACUUGAGUGUUUCAGGGGAGACUGGAAUUCCUGGUGUAGCGGUGAAAUGCGCAGAUAUCAGGAGGAACACCGGUGGCGAAGGCGGGUCUCUGGGAAACAACUGACGCUGAGGAACGAAAGCGUGGGUAGCAAACAGGAUUAGAUACCCUGGUAGUCCACGCCGUAAACGGUGGGCGCUAGGUGUGGGUUCCUUCCACGGAAUCUGUGCCGUAGCUAACGCAUUAAGCGCCCCGCCUGGGGANUACGG
Molecule: ribosomal RNA, 642 nt
Filed under: uncultured Actinomycetes bacterium
Lineage: Bacteria; Bacillati; Actinomycetota; Actinomycetes
Description: bacterial SSU rRNA
Rfam family: Bacterial small subunit ribosomal RNA
Source: RNAcentral